UCUUUGCUGAUCUCUUGUGAA
Molecule: unclassified non-coding RNA, 21 nt
Filed under: Mus musculus (house mouse)
Lineage: Eukaryota; Metazoa; Chordata; Mammalia; Rodentia; Muridae
Description: oocyte_clustered_small_RNA12019
Source: RNAcentral